RNAcentral lists this transfer RNA (74 nucleotides) under delta proteobacterium ML8_D. RNAcentral describes it as "tRNA-Gln". It matches the Rfam family "tRNA". From Rfam's summary of the family: Transfer RNA (tRNA) molecules are approximately 80 nucleotides in length. Their secondary structure includes four short double-helical elements and three loops (D, anti-codon, and T loops). The record is from RNAcentral. Lineage: Bacteria; Deltaproteobacteria.
UGGGGAGUAGCCAAGGGGUAAGGCAACGGGCCUUGGACCCGUGAUCGGAGGUUCGAAUCCUCCCUCCCCAGCCA